This 64-nucleotide transfer RNA is filed under the name Cucujoidea sp. 37 KM-2017. RNAcentral describes it as "tRNA-Val". The record is from RNAcentral. Lineage: Eukaryota; Metazoa; Arthropoda; Insecta; Coleoptera.
CAAAUUAGAGCUUGAAUAGAGUAUUUUAUUUACACUAAAAAGGAGGUUGUAUAACUUGAUUUGA